Molecule: ribosomal RNA, 253 nt
Filed under: uncultured bacterium
Lineage: Bacteria
Description: partial 16S ribosomal RNA
Rfam family: Bacterial small subunit ribosomal RNA
Source: RNAcentral
UACGUAGGGUGCGAGCGUUGUCCGGAAUUAUUGGGCGUAAAGGGCUCGUAGGCGGUUUGUCGCGUCGGGAGUGAAAUCCACUGGCUUAACUGGUGGCUUGCUUUCGAUACGGGCAGACUGGAGGUAUGCAGGGGAGAGCGGAAUUCCUGGUGUAGCGGUGAAAUGCGCAGAUAUCAGGAGGAAUACCGAUGGCGAAGGCAGGUCUCUGGGCUGAAACUGACGCUGAUGCACGAAAGCGUGGGGAGCAAACAGG